Lepidothrix coronata (blue-crowned manakin) is the source of this 161-nucleotide unclassified non-coding RNA. Lineage: Eukaryota; Metazoa; Chordata; Aves; Passeriformes; Pipridae. The record is from Ensembl.
UCAUAGUUCUGGAGACUGAAAUUCUUUCUUUGUUCACAGAGCAGAUACAGCAUGGAAAGAGGCUGUGCAAUGUUCCUGUUUGCCUAAACCCUGACUUGGAGGGACCACCAUUAAGAAUCAGAGGUUAGUUCAGUGUCCAUUUGACCUGUCUCUCUGCUAAG